AUGCAUAUAAAGGAAAUAAUAUUUCCUUAUUUAAAAUUGGCGCCCAUUCAUAGUGGCAAAAAUUAAUUGUGCCACAAUUUGACAAACAUCAAGAGGAGAAGCCGAAGGAGUUUUAUCUGUGACAACUGACAAGCAUUACCGAGCAAGUUUUCAUAUUUUUCAAGAGUUUUCAUAUUUUAAGAUUAAUAGUAAAAAAUAGUUUAGAAUAAACUUUAAUUGUCGUUUUUCUUAUUUCAGAACAACACAACGUUUAUUCUAAUUUCAAAAACAAAUUGUAAUAAAAACGUAUUACAAAACGACAAUUUGUUUAUAAAAAACAAUGGAAAAACUUCAAUUCGAAUUUACUUUGUUGCCUAGUAGUGAUGGAAAAUCUAAUAUUUUAUGUAUAACCUCAAUUGGCACACCGGACAGCAAAGUAUAUGCUAUACCAGAAGAAUUACAAGGAGUUAGUCAUCAUAAGACCUUAUGUUCUACUACAUCCUUUACUAAAGUAAAAAAUAGCUUAAAGAAACGAUACCAAAAAAGAAGAAUAUGGAUAACCUUGUCAAAAGAACUGUCCGAAACUUAUCUAGAUGCAGAUAAUAAUAUUCAAUUUAAUGACCAGUAUUUGGAGGAAAUAAGUAUAGAGAAAUCCCUUACUGGUAAUACAUUGCCAACGGAAACAGAAAGAUUAGAAAAAAUAUUUGUGAGGUUCCUGGAAAAUACUCAAACUAGCAGCAAUAAGCAACAGAAUUUGAAAAAUAUAGCAGAAAAAUUUGUGAUAGAAAAAUUUACAACAAGAAAUCCAAAUGCAAGUCAAUGGAUUGAGAUGUUUGAGAAAGAGUGCAUUCGAUGUGAUGUCACAACCGAUGAAAGUAAAAUUGAAGUACUCCGAUUAUUUUUGGACAAAAGUUGUUUAGACUGGUACAAUUCAAUGAUUAUAAAAUUAUCAAUGAAUUCAGAUUGGUCGCAAUGGAAAGAUAAGUUUUGUCAUUCAUUUAUCAAUAAAGGUUGGAAUCCAGUGAUAUAUGCAUUAUCUUUUAAAUAUAAAGAGGGUUUACUAGUGGAUUAUGCAAUGAGAAAGGAGAAACUAUUAUUGGAGAUGAGAAAAUCAAUAGAUACAGAUACUUUAAUUGAUAUCAUUGCGGCUGGUUUACCAGAAUUCAUAUUAAACAAGAUUGACAGGGAAUCCUAAAAAGACACAGUAGAUUUAUUUAACGAACUCGGUAAAUAUGAACACCUGAUGAACAGAAGAAGUAGGAUAACUCCAAGGAAAUAUGAAAACCAGAAGUAUGUGAGUAAAAAUGAAGAGAAAAGUCCAUGUAAAAUAUGUGACAAGUUAAAUAAAGGUACCCGUUACCAUCCGGAAGCUACUUGCUGGUUUCGGUCAAAUGAAAAUGGACAAGUUAAAAAAAGGGACUAUAAACAUGUUAACAACUCUGUGAUUGAAGCUGAAUUGAUAACUGACCAAAAAAACGAGUUGUAACACCAUUAAUAUACGUCAAGCUACAAUUGGAUGAUAAACUUGAACUAUAUGGAGUGUAUGACUCUGGUUCAAAUGUUUCAUUAAUAAAUUCAAGAUUCCU
Aricia agestis (brown argus) is the source of this 1565-nucleotide long non-coding RNA. RefSeq lists it as uncharacterized. Lineage: Eukaryota; Metazoa; Arthropoda; Insecta; Lepidoptera; Lycaenidae. The record is from RefSeq and is a predicted model, not a curated record. The transcript is spliced from 2 exons.